Molecule: long non-coding RNA, 121 nt
Organism: Etheostoma spectabile (orangethroat darter)
Lineage: Eukaryota; Metazoa; Chordata; Actinopteri; Perciformes; Percidae
Exons: 3
Source: RefSeq, a predicted model, not a curated record
AGACCCGGAAACGCUGGCCAAUCACAGCAGACUGGGCUUUGUCGGGAGGGGGGGGGCUUAAAGAGACAGACGCUAAAACGGAGCGUUCCAGACAGAGGGGGAACUCCAGUAUAUGUAGACA